UACGUAGGGUGCGAGCGUUGUCCGGAAUUAUUGGGCGUAAAGGGCUCGUAGGCGGUUUGUCGCGUCGGGAGUGAAAACACCGGGCUUAACUCGGUGCUUGCUUUCGAUACGGGCAGACUAGAGGUAUGCAGGGGAGAACGGAAUUCCUGGUGUAGCGGUGAAAUGCGCAGAUAUCAGGAGGAACACCGGUGGCGAAGGCGGGUCUCUGGGCCGAUACUGACGCUGAGGAGCGAAAGCGUGGGGAGCGAACAGG
Molecule: ribosomal RNA, 253 nt
Filed under: uncultured bacterium
Lineage: Bacteria
Description: partial 16S ribosomal RNA
Rfam family: Bacterial small subunit ribosomal RNA
Source: RNAcentral